UGGGGAAUUUUGGACAAUGGGCGAAAGCCUGAUCCAGCAAUGCCGCGUGUGUGAAGAAGGCCUUCGGGUUGUAAAGCACUUUUGUCCGGAAAGAAAUCCUUGGCUCUAAUACAGUCGGGGGAUGACGGUACCGGAAGAAUAAGCACCGGCUAACUACGUGCCAGCAGCCGCGGUAAUACGUAGGGUGCAAGCGUUAAUCGGAAUUACUGGGCGUAAAGCGUGCGCAGGCGGUUUGCUAAGACCGAUGUGAAAUCCCCGGGCUCAACCUGGGAACUGCAUUGGUGACUGGCAGGCUAGAGUAUGGCAGAGGGGGGUAGAAUUCCACGUGUAGCAGUGAAAUGCGUAGAGAUGUGGAGGAAUACCGAUGGCGAAGGCAGCCCCCUGGGCCAAUACUGACGCUCAUGCACGAAAGCGUGGGGAGCAAACAGGAUUAGAUACCCUGGUAGUCCACGCCCUAAAACGAUGUCAACUAGUUGUUGGGGAUUCAUUUCCUUAGUAACGUAGCUAACGCGUGAAGUUGACCGCCUGGGGAGUACGGUCGCAAGAUUAAAACUCAAAGGAAUUGACGGGGUCAUAG
This 577-nucleotide ribosomal RNA is filed under the name uncultured bacterium. RNAcentral's name for it is "partial 16S ribosomal RNA". It matches the Rfam family "Bacterial small subunit ribosomal RNA", at positions 355 to 924 of the family's 1533-position model. The record is from RNAcentral.